This 256-nucleotide ribosomal RNA is filed under the name uncultured bacterium. RNAcentral describes it as "partial 16S ribosomal RNA". It matches the Rfam family "Bacterial small subunit ribosomal RNA", at positions 524 to 777 of the family's 1533-position model. The record is from RNAcentral.
UACGAAGGGGGGCUAGCGUUGCUCGGAAUCACUGGGCGUAAAGCGCACGUAGGCGGAUCUUUUAAGUCAGGGGUGAAAUCCCAAGGCUCAACCUUGGAACUGCCUUUGAUACUGGGGAUCUCGAGUCCGGAAGAGGUGAGUGGAACUGCGAGUGUAGAGGUGAAAUUCGUAGAUAUUCGCAAGAACACCAGUGGCGAAGGCGGCUCACUGGUCCGGUACUGACGCUGAGGUGCGAAAGCGUGGGGAGCAAACAGGG